UUGCAAAUUUGUUGAUUUCUUAGAAUGGAACUAAUUUGAGCCCUUCCUUUUGCAGCUGGGGCUCACUGCCCCCCCCAAAGGGCAGUGAGUCAUUGGGUU
This 99-nucleotide long non-coding RNA is filed under the name Castor canadensis (American beaver). RNAcentral describes it as "Maternally expressed 8 exon 1 (ENSCCNG00000001699.1)". It matches the Rfam family "Maternally expressed 8 exon 1". Lineage: Eukaryota; Metazoa; Chordata; Mammalia; Rodentia; Castoridae. The record is from RNAcentral.